AUCUAAGCAGACUGCCCUGGGCAGCUGGUUGAUGGGUUCUUCCAGCUGGACAUCUUCUACCCAUUUAGUCCAACCACACCUGCUUCAGACAGCAAACAAGAGCCUUUCUCAUCUCCAGGAUCUACAUAUGGGGGGCUGGGGGUAUAGAGGCACCAUUCAGCUUCCAGCUGUAGUGUUUCAUGAUGGUCGAGGAUCCCAUCUGGCCUCCUACCAGAAAAAAAAAGAGGUUUUAGGUUUAGAGUUUUUCAGAUGUGUAAACUGAGGCACAGAGAGUCACACACCUUUCUGUAACUUACCCAAAGCCGGUAAGUGAUGGAACUGGAAUAUGAAUAAAAUACAAGGCCGGCCACUGACUCUGUGGAGUGCUCUGAGCGGAAGUUGAUGUCCCCAUUUUGCAGAUGGUGCCAUCUUGCAGAGAAAGUUACACACUUGUGGCAAGACUCCUACAAAAUGCUCCAGCUCCAAGUGUCCAAAAGUUACCUUAAACUCGUUAUGUAAUAGCGUGUUUACCUGCUACACGUGCACCCUGAUUAAACACAGUUGUUACUCAGUUGUGACAAAUAAACCUGUUAUCCACUGCUGUCUUGUGUAUAAAGUCACCACCGGAGCUGAGCUCAGAGAGACACUGCUUGUGGGAAAUAUCCCAGGUGUUCUGCAUUGUUUGUGCAAGCAAUAAACCUUUUCCUUCACCUACUUCUGCCUUAGUUGUGCUUUUUGGCUUCAUACUCACCGAG
RNAcentral lists this long non-coding RNA (734 nucleotides) under Equus caballus (horse). RNAcentral's name for it is "lncRNA (ENSECAG00000055486.1)". Lineage: Eukaryota; Metazoa; Chordata; Mammalia; Perissodactyla; Equidae. The record is from RNAcentral.